This 301-nucleotide ribosomal RNA is filed under the name uncultured bacterium. RNAcentral describes it as "partial 16S ribosomal RNA". It matches the Rfam family "Bacterial small subunit ribosomal RNA", at positions 509 to 807 of the family's 1533-position model. The record is from RNAcentral.
CAGCAGCCGCGGUAAAACGUAGGUGGCAAGCGUUGUCCGGAAUUAUUGGGCGUAAAGGGCUCGCAGGCGGUUUCUUAAGUCUGAUGUGAAAGCCCCCGACUCAACCGGGGAGGGUCAUUGGAAACUGGGAAACUUGAGUGCAGAAGAGGAGAGUGGAAUUCCACGUGUAGCGGUGAAAUGCGUAGAGAUGUGGAGGAACACCAGUGGCGAAGGCGACUCUCUGGUCUGUAACUGACGCUGAGGAGCGAAAGCGUGGGGAGCGAACAGGAUUAGAUACCCCGGUAGUCCCUGUCUCUUAUAC